This 2437-nucleotide ribosomal RNA is filed under the name marine metagenome. RNAcentral describes it as "bacterial LSU rRNA". It matches the Rfam family "Bacterial large subunit ribosomal RNA", at positions 14 to 2312 of the family's 2925-position model. The record is from RNAcentral.
AGAGCCAACGGUGGAUGCCUUGGCGCCAAUAACCGAUGAAAGACGUGGGUGACUGCGAAAAGCUAUGACGAGCCGUCUACCAGGCUUUGACUCAUAGAUGUCUGAAUGAGGAAACUCUGCACCCGUCAUGGGGUGUAACUCCGGAGUGAAUACAUAGCUCCGGUAGAGGGAACCAGGGGAAUUGAAACAUCUCAGUACCCUGAGGAAAGAAAAGCAAACGCGACUCCCUUAGUAGUGGCGAGCGAAAAGGGAAAAGACCAAACCGUGUCGGUGCAAUAUCCUGAUGGAGUUGCCGACAGGGGGUUGUGGGACGUUAAGACACUGCAUCAGAAGUGUCACAGAGUUAACAAAUUACUGGGUAGAAGAAUGGUUUCGGAAAAGCCAGCCAUAGUGGGUAAAAGCCCCGUAUUCGAAACUCACGUAAUCUCUGUAACCAAUCCCAAGUAAUGCCGGGACCGAGCAAACUGGCAUGAAUCUGCGGGGACCACCCCGUAAGUCUAAGUAUUUAUUGGCGACCGAUAGUGAACCAGUACCGUGAGGGAAAGGUGAAAAGAACCCCGGGAGGGGAGUGAAAUAGUACCUGAAACCGUUGGUUUACAAACAGUCAGAGAGUCGUUGUACCGUUCGCGGUGCAGCCUCGAUGGCGUGCCUUUUGAAGAAUGAGCCUACGAGUUACGGUAUGUGGCGAGGUUAACCCGUGAGGGGUAGCCGGAGCGAAAGCGAGUCUGAAUAGGGCGUUCAGUCGCAUGCUGUAGACCCGAAGCCAAGUGAUCUUGCCAUGGGCAGGUUGAAGCGGGGGUAAGACCCCGUGGAGGACCGAACACACGUCAGUUGAAAAUGGCGGUGAUGACCUGUGGUUAGGGGCGAAAGACCAAUCAAACUCGGCGAUAGCUGGUUCUCCUCGAAAUGCAUUUAGGUGCAGCGUCAUGCGUUCAGUACCGGAGGUAGAGCACUGGAUGGGUUAGGGGGCCUACAAGCUUACCGACCCCAGCCAAACUCCGAAUUACGGUACUCCAGAGCAUGGCAGUGAGACCACGGGGGAUGAGCUUCGUUGGUCGAAAGGGAAACAGCCCAGAUCAUCAGCUAAGGCCCCUAAUUCAGGACUAAGUGGAAAACGAUGUGGAUUUGCACAGACAGCCAGGAGGUUGGCUUAGAAGCAGCCAUCCUUAAAAGAGUGCGUAACAGCUCACUGGUCGAGUGAAUCUGCGCGGACAAUUUAACGGGGCUCAAGUCCUGAGCCGAAGCUAUGGAUUUCAACAUUUAUGUUGGAGUGGUAGAGGAGCGUUGAUGAUGCGACUGAAGCGACGGGAUAACCCGGCGUGGAGUGUCAUCAAGUGAGAAUGUAGGCAUGAGUAGCGAGAGAGGGGUGAGAAACCCCUCCGCCGUAAGCCCAAGGGUUCCUGGGGAAGGCUAAUCCUCCCAGGGUAAGUCGGGAGCUAAGACGAGGCCGCGAGGCGUAGUCGAUGCACAACUGGUUGAUAUUCCAGUACCGCCAUAUACGCGCCAAGCUCAAUAUCGACAAAGUGGGGGCUGCCUUCGGGCGAACCUGCCUAGUUGGUUGCGGGUAACUGAAGGGGGACGCAGAAGGAUAGGUGAACCGGGGCGAUGGUAGUCCCCGGGUAAGUGCGUAGGAGGAUCCCGAUGAGAGUUGGGGUCACAUACUCUGAGACACGAUGCCGAGCACAUUUGUGCGAAGUCACUAAUUCCAUACUGCCAAGAAAAGCCCAGCAGUGAGUAGAUAUGGCGCCCGUACCCCAAACCGACGCAGGUGGGCGGGUAGAGAAUACCAAGGCGAUCGGGAGAACUAUGGUUAAGGAACUCGGCAAAAUGCCUCCGUAACUUCGGAAGAAGGAGGACCCACGUAGGGUGAAGCGACUUCGCGUCGCCAGCCUGAAUGGGUGGCACAGAGCAGGGGGUAGCGACUGUUUAACAAAAACACAGCAGCGUGCGAAGCCGCAAGGCGCUGUAUACGCUGUGACGCCUGCCCAAUGCUGGAAGGUCACGAGGAUCGGUUAGUCGUAAGGCGAAGCUGUGAAUCUAAGCCCCAGUGAAUGGCGGCCGUAACUAUAACGGUCCUAAGGUAGCGAAAUUCCUUGUCGGGUAAGUUCCGACCUGCACGAAUGGCGUAACGACUUCCCCGCUGUCUCAACCAUAGACCCGGCGAAAUUGAAGUACGAGUAAAGAUGCUCGUUUGCUGCGGAAGGACGGAAAGACCCCGUGGACCUUUACUAUAACUUGAUGUUGAGCUUUGAAAUGGGCUGUGUAGGAUAGGUGGGAGACUGUGAAGCAGGUGCGCUAGCACUUGUGGAGUCAUUGGUGAAAUACCACCCUGCGUAUUUUGGAGCUCUAACUUUGGUCCGUAAUCCGGAUCAGGGACAGCGUCAGGCGGGUAGUUUGACUGGGGCGGUCGCCUCCUAAAUUGUAACGGAGGCGCUCA